Molecule: ribosomal RNA, 1637 nt
Filed under: Pterygoplichthys anisitsi (snow pleco)
Lineage: Eukaryota; Metazoa; Chordata; Actinopteri; Siluriformes; Loricariidae
Description: bacterial LSU rRNA
Rfam family: Bacterial large subunit ribosomal RNA
Source: RNAcentral
CGUUGAAAAGCCAGGGGACGACUUGUGGAUAGGGGUGAAAGGCUAAUCAAACUCGGUGAUAGCUGGUUCUCCCCGAAAGCUAUUUAGGUAGCGCCUCGGACGAAUACCAUAGGGGGUAGAGCACUGUUUCGGCUAGGGGGUCAUCCCGACUUACCAAACCGAUGCAAACUCCGAAUACCUAUGAGUACUAUCCGGGAGACAGACUGCGGGUGCUAACGUCCGUAGUCAAGAGGAAAACAAUCCAGACCGCCAGCUAAGGCCCCCAAAUUAUAGUUAAGUGGGAAACGAUGUGGGAAGGCAUAGACAGCUAGGAGGUUGGCUUAGAAGCAGCCACCCUUUAAAGAAAGCGUAAUAGCUCACUAGUCGAGUCGGCCUGCGCGGAAGAUGUAACGGGGCUAAAACUAUAUGCCGAAGCUGCGGAUGUGCACUAUGUGCACGUGGUAGGGGAGCGUUCUGUAAGCCGAUGAAGGUGUAUUGAGAAGUAUGCUGGAGGUAUCAGAAGUGCGAAUGCUGACGUGAGUAACGACAAAACGGGUGAAAAACCCGUUCGCUGAAAGACCAAGGGUUCCAGUCCAACGUUAAUCGGGGCUGGGUGAGUCGACCCCUAAGGCGAGGCCGAGAGGCGUAGUCGAUGGGAAAUUGGUUAAUAUUCCAAUACUUCUGUGUAAUGCGAUGAGAGGACGGAGAAAGUUAAGUCAGCCUGGCGUUGGUUGUCCAGGUGAAAGGCAGUAGGCAUGCAUCUUAGGCAAAUCCGGGGUGCUCUAUGCUGAGAGCUGAUAGCAAGCUAGUUUACUAGCGAAGUGGCUGAUACUAUGCUUCCAGGAAAAGUCUCUAAGCUUCAGUUACACAGGAAUCGUACCCUAAACCGACACAGGUGGUCAGGUCGAGUAGACCAAAGCGCUUGAGAGAACUCUGCUGAAGGAACUAGGCAAAAUGGUACCGUAACUUCGGGAGAAGGUACGCUGCUGACGGUGAUAGGACUUGCUCCUUGAGCUAUUGGCAGCCACAGAAACCAGGCCCCUGCAACUGUUUAUUAAAAACAUAGCACUCUGCAAACACGAAAGUGGACGUAUAGGGUGUGAUGCCUGCCCGGUGCUGGAAGGUUAAUUGAUGGGGUUAGCGUAAGCGAAGCUCUUGAUCGAAGCCCCAGUAAACGGCGGCCGUAACAAUAACGGUCCUAAGGUAGCGAAAUUCCUUGUCGGGUAAGUUCCGACCUGCACGAAUGGCGUAACGACUUCCCCACUGUCUCCAGGACAUGCUCAGCGAAAUUGAAUUCUCCGUGAAGAUGCGGAGUACCCGCGGUUAGACGGAAAGACCCCGUGCACCUUUACUGCAGCUUCAGAGUGGCAUUAGGAAAGAACUGUGUAGCAUAGGUGGGAGGCUUUGAAGCAUUGGCGCCAGCCGGUGUGGAGCCAUAGGUGAAAUACCACCCUGUUGUUUUCUGAUGUCUAACCUGCAACCAUGAAACUGGUUGAGGGACCCUCUGUGGCGGGUAGUUUGACUGGGGCGGUCGCCUCCUAAAGGGUAACGGAGGCGCCCAAAGGUUCCCUCAGCCUGGUUGGUAAUCAGGUGGUGAGUGUAAGUGCACAAGGGGGCUUGACUGUGAGACUGACAGGUCGAGCAGGGACGAAAGUCGG